AGUCGAGCGAAUCGACGGGAGCUUGCUCCCUGAGAUUAGCGGCGGACGGGUGAGUAACACGUGGGCAACCUGCCUAUAAGACUGGGAUAACUUCGGGAAACCGGAGCUAAUACCGGAUNNNNNCUUUUCNNNCAUGAGAGAAGAUGGAAAGACGGUUUNNNCUGUCACUUNNNGAUGGGCCCGCGGCGCAUUAGCUAGUUGGUGAGGUAAUGGCUCACCAAGGCGNCGAUGCGUAGCCGACCUGAGAGGGUGAUCGGCCACACUGGGACUGAGACACGGCCCAGACUCCUACGGGAGGCAGCAGUAGGGAAUCUUCCGCAAUGGACGAAAGUCUGACGGAGCAACGCCGCG
This 351-nucleotide ribosomal RNA is filed under the name Bacillus sp. (in: firmicutes). RNAcentral describes it as "Bacillus sp. (in: Bacteria) partial 16S ribosomal RNA". It matches the Rfam family "Bacterial small subunit ribosomal RNA", at positions 60 to 401 of the family's 1533-position model. Lineage: Bacteria; Bacillati; Bacillota; Bacilli; Caryophanales; Bacillaceae. The record is from RNAcentral.